This 311-nucleotide ribosomal RNA is filed under the name uncultured fungus. Its description in RNAcentral is "SSU rRNA". It matches the Rfam family "Eukaryotic small subunit ribosomal RNA", at positions 39 to 352 of the family's 1831-position model. Lineage: Eukaryota; Fungi. The record is from RNAcentral.
AAAGAUUAAGCCAUGCAUGUCUAAGUAUAAGCAAAUUUUACAGUGAAACUGCGAAUGGCUCAUUAAAUCAGUUAUCGUUUAUUUGAUGUUCCCUUACUACAUGGAUACCUGUGGUAAUUCUAGAGCUAAUACAUGCUUCAAAGCCCGGCCUCUGGUCGGGCUGCACUUAUUAGAUAAAAAACCAAUGCCUUCACGGGCUCUUUGGUGAUUCAUAGUAAUUUAGCGGACCGCAUGGCCUUGAGCCGGCGGUGGAUCAUUCAAAUUUCUGCCCUAUCAACUUUCGAUGGUAGGAUAGUGGCCUACCAUGGUUU